AAUCAUUUGUCUUUUAAAUGAAGACUUGUAUGAACGGCAAAACCUCCUCCAACUGUCUCCCCUCCCAUCCUUCCAAAUUUCCUCCUGUGUGAAGAAGCGCAGAUACACCAGAAAGACGAGAAGACCCUGUCGAGCUUUAACCACUAAGUGGGCCUUACCCUUUCAGGCACCACCCAAAGGUUUUGGUUGGGGCAACCACGGAGAAAAAACAUCCUCCAGAACGAAUAGAAGAAAGCUUUUCACUAUUAUUACGACCAAGAACCAGGAACUGGUAUUCGGAAAGAGUUACCGCAGGGAUAACAGCGUCAUCUCCUCUAAGAGUCCUUAUUGACGAGGAGGUUUGCGACCUCGAUGUUGGAUUGGGGCCCCCUUAGGGUGCAGAAGCUCUAAACGGUUAGACUGUUCGUCUAUUAAAGCCCUACAUGAUCUGAGUUCAAACCGGAG
Molecule: ribosomal RNA, 444 nt
Filed under: Holothuria mammata
Lineage: Eukaryota; Metazoa; Echinodermata; Holothuroidea; Aspidochirotida; Holothuriidae
Description: partial 16S ribosomal RNA
Rfam family: Bacterial large subunit ribosomal RNA
Source: RNAcentral